Molecule: ribosomal RNA, 118 nt
Filed under: Pteropus alecto (black flying fox)
Lineage: Eukaryota; Metazoa; Chordata; Mammalia; Chiroptera; Pteropodidae
Source: RNAcentral
ACUAAAGUCUAUGCAUUUACUGAACAGGCAGAUCCUGUCUGAUCUUGGAAGCUAAGCAGAGUAGGGCUUGGUUAGUACUUGGAUGGGAGACCACUAAGAAGAUCAGGUGCUGUAGGUG